Long non-coding RNA from Puntigrus tetrazona (Sumatra barb), 296 nucleotides. RefSeq lists it as uncharacterized. The transcript is spliced from 3 exons. Lineage: Eukaryota; Metazoa; Chordata; Actinopteri; Cypriniformes; Cyprinidae. The record is from RefSeq and is a predicted model, not a curated record.
GACAUCAGAGUGUUGCGCGAAUAAUUGCAUCCCCUAUUUUAACCACUUAAACAUUUUUUGCUUUAAAGACCGUAGAAAAGAGUAAGAGAGGUGUUGAACGGAAGCAGAGCUCUGGAGCGUGAGGACAGACAGUGGCUGUAAUGAUGGACGUGUGCUGAAGGACGGGACUCAUUUUCAAUGAUGCCACCCUUCCUUUUUCGUGUUCAGACUGAAGUACGUUAAGGUGGAUCUGUUUUGUCUUUUGCGAAAGGAAGAAGACGAGCAUCAAGUGAUUUCCAGUGGAUGCCAUGACCUCC